RNAcentral lists this long non-coding RNA (225 nucleotides) under Capsicum annuum. RNAcentral's name for it is "long non-coding RNA (CANN_LNC018561)". Lineage: Eukaryota; Viridiplantae; Streptophyta; Magnoliopsida; Solanales; Solanaceae. The record is from RNAcentral.
GAUUAAAUGCCUAUGUAAAGAAAAAGUGCCCAACUAGUAUGAUAUCAUGAAAUCCUCAUCAUUCGAGGACAUGAUCAUUACUUUAUUUUGUCAAUAAUUAAUUUAUUAGUUGGAGUUAGUUGGGGAUAUGUCCCAUCAACUCCCUAUUCAAACAUUUUAGAGGCUUUCAGAAUAUCAUGUUCAGUUAGUUAUUUCAGUUGUUUUGGGUAUUUCAUACCCCACCAG